CCUACGGGAGGCAGCAGUGGGGAAUAUUGCACAAUGGGGGAAACCCUGAUGCAGCGACGCCGCGUGAGUGAAGAAGUAAUUCGUUAUGUAACGCUCUAUCAGCAGGGAAGAAAAUGACGGUACCUGAGUAAGAAGCCCCGGCUAACUACGUGCCAGCAGCCGCGGUAAUACGUAGGGGGCAAGCGUUAUCCGGCUUUACUGGGUGGAAAGGGAGCGUAGACGGCAGUGCAAGUCUGGAGUGAAAGGCGGGGGCUCAACCCCCGGACUGCUCUUGAAACUGUACGGCUGGAGUGCAGGAGAGGUAAGUGGAAUUCCUAGUGUAGCGGUGAAAUGCGUAGAUAUUAGGAGGAACACCAGUGGCGAAGGCGGCUUACUGGACUGUAACUGACGUUGAGGCUCGAAAGCGUGGGGAGCAAACAGGAUUAGAUACCCGGGUAGUC
Molecule: ribosomal RNA, 440 nt
Filed under: uncultured bacterium
Lineage: Bacteria
Description: partial 16S ribosomal RNA
Rfam family: Bacterial small subunit ribosomal RNA
Source: RNAcentral